Dendrobium catenatum is the source of this 539-nucleotide long non-coding RNA. RefSeq lists it as uncharacterized. The record is from RefSeq and is a predicted model, not a curated record. The transcript is spliced from 2 exons. Lineage: Eukaryota; Viridiplantae; Streptophyta; Magnoliopsida; Asparagales; Orchidaceae.
UCAUCUCCAUCUCCAAAUUAGGGCUUUAGACUUCUCCUUAUUCAUCUCUGUUUACCGGACUAUGCGUUAAUCUCGUCGCGCUCUCGAAUUCGCUUGGUGCAGGUCGGGAACCGAUCUCGAUCGUACGUCUGGAGUUCACGGAUUGUCAGUUCCCUACUUGCACCAAGGGAAUUCGAGAAAAAACGGCGAAAAAAGAGCUCUUUUUUUCAUCUGGCAAUCCAUUGCGUUCUCUCUCUCUCUGAACGAUAAAGGAAUAUUGCAGCAAGGAAUCUAUGGAGCAACUUUUGUUAUAUCUCUUUGUGCUGUUGGAGUUAUGCCUGCUAUUAUUUUCCAUCCUUUGUCUUGUGGAAAUAACUUUUCUAAUACAGCAUGGAAUCUCAAUUGAAACAUCAACAUCUUUCUGUCAUCCUUCUCUUGUAAUUCAGCCCUUUUCUUGUCAGACUUCAGCUGAAGUUAUAUAUGCUGAAGGUGGUUCUGUGGUCCUCCUCCAUAUUUCUCAUAAUUUUAUGAAAUUUCAUAUCAUAUAUAUAUUUAUGAUA